AUUGAACGCUGGCGGCAUGCCUUACACAUGCAAGUCGAACGGCAGCGCGGACUUCGGUCUGGCGGCGAGUGGCGAACGGGUGAGUAAUACAUCGGAACGUACCCUGUUGUGGGGGAUAACUAGUCGAAAGAUUAGCUAAUACCGCAUACGACCUGAGGGUGAAAGUGGGGGACCGCAAGGCCUCACGCAGCAGGAGCGGCCGAUGUCUGAUUAGCUAGUUGGUGGGGUAAAGGCCCACCAAGGCGACGAUCAGUAGCUGGGCUGAGAGGACGGUCAGCCACCCUGGGACUGGGACACGGCCCAGACUCCUACGGGAGGCAGCAGUGGGGAAUGUUGGACAAUGGGGGCAACCCUGAUCCAGCAAUGCCGCGUGUGUGAAGAAGGCCUUCGGGUUGUAAAGCACUUUUGUCCGGAAAGAAAUCGCGCUGGUUAAUACCUGGCGUGGAUGACGGUACCGGAAGAAUAAGCACCGGCUAACUACGUGCCAGCCGCCGCUGUAA
This 500-nucleotide ribosomal RNA is filed under the name uncultured bacterium. RNAcentral describes it as "partial 16S ribosomal RNA". It matches the Rfam family "Bacterial small subunit ribosomal RNA", at positions 29 to 523 of the family's 1533-position model. The record is from RNAcentral.